CGUACACUCCUGCGGGAGGCAGCAGUGGGGAAUAUUGCACAAUGGGCGCAAGCCUGAUGCAGCCAUGCCGCGUGUAUGAAGAAGGCCUUCGGGUUGUAAAGUACUUUCAGCGGGGAGGAAGGCGAUAAGGUUAAUAACCUUGUUGAUUGACGUUACCCGCAGAAGAAGCACCGGCUAACUCCGUGCCAGCAGCCGCGGUAAUACGGAGGGUGCAAGCGUUAAUCGGAAUUACUGGGCGUAAAGCGCACGCAGGCGGUCUGUCAAGUCGGAUGUGAAAUCCCCGGGCUCAACCUGGGAACUGCAUUCGAAACUGGCAGGCUAGAGUCUUGUAGAGGGAGGUAGAAUUCCAGGUGUAGCGGUGAAAUGCGUAGAGAUCUGGAGGAAUACCGGUGGCGAAGGCGGCCCCCUGGACAAAGACUGACGCUCAGGUGCGAAAGCGUGGGGAGCAAACAGGAUUAGAAACCCGAGUAGUCCCA
Molecule: ribosomal RNA, 476 nt
Filed under: uncultured organism
Description: partial 16S ribosomal RNA
Rfam family: Bacterial small subunit ribosomal RNA
Source: RNAcentral